GGGGAUUUAGCUCAGCGGCAUAAGCACCUGCCUUGCAAGCAGGUCGUCAUGAGUUCAAUCCCCA
Cavia porcellus (domestic guinea pig) is the source of this 64-nucleotide transfer RNA. It matches the Rfam family "tRNA". Rfam says of the family: Transfer RNA (tRNA) molecules are approximately 80 nucleotides in length. NCBI's taxonomy places the organism in Eukaryota, Metazoa, Chordata, Mammalia, Rodentia, Caviidae. The record is from Rfam.